CUCUACGGGACGCAGCAGUAGGGAAUCUUCCACAAUGGACGAAAGUCUGAUGGAGCAACGCCGCGUGAGUGAAGAAGGGUUUCGGCUCGUAAAGCUCUGUUGGGAGUGAAGAAAGAUAGAGGUAGUAACUGGCCUUUAUUUGACGGUAAUUACUUAGAAAGUCACGGCUAACUACGUGCCAGCAGCCGCGGUAAUACGUAGGUGGCAAGCGUUAUCCGGGUUUACUGGGUGUAAAGGGAGCGCAGACGGCAAGGCCAGUCUG
RNAcentral lists this ribosomal RNA (262 nucleotides) under uncultured bacterium. Its description in RNAcentral is "partial 16S ribosomal RNA". It matches the Rfam family "Bacterial small subunit ribosomal RNA", at positions 337 to 591 of the family's 1533-position model. The record is from RNAcentral.